This 347-nucleotide ribosomal RNA is filed under the name Aspergillus fumigatus. RNAcentral describes it as "SSU rRNA". It matches the Rfam family "Eukaryotic small subunit ribosomal RNA", at positions 20 to 370 of the family's 1831-position model. The record is from RNAcentral. Lineage: Eukaryota; Fungi; Ascomycota; Eurotiomycetes; Eurotiales; Aspergillaceae.
GUAGUCAUAUGCUUGUCUCAAAGAUUAAGCCAUGCAUGUCUAAGUAUGAGCAAUUUAUACGGUGAAACUGCGAAUGGCUCAUUAAAUCAGUUAUCGUUUAUUUGAUAGUACCUUACUACAUGGAUACCUGUGGUAAUUCUAGAGCUAAUACAUGCUAAAAACCUCGACUUCGGAAGGGGUGUAUUUAUUAGAUAAAAAACCAAUGCCCUUCGGGGCUCCUUGGUGAAUCAUAAUAACUUAACGAAUCGCAUGGCCUUGCGCCGGCGAUGGUUCAUUCAAAUUUCUGCCCUAUCAACUUUCGAUGGUAGGAUAGUGGCCUACCAUGGUGGCAACGGGUAACGGGGAAU